GAGAGCGGCGGACGGGUGAGUAACGCGUGGGAACGUGCCCUUAGGUGGGGGACAACAGUUGGAAACGACUGCUAAUACCGCAUAAGCCAAUUUGGGAAAGCCUUCGGGCGCCUUGGGAUCGGCCCGCGUUAGAUUAGGUAGUUGGUGGGGUAAAGGCCUACCAAGCCUACGAUCUAUAGCUGGUUUGAGAGAAUGAUCAGCCACACUGGGACUGAGACACGGCCCAGACUCCUACGGGAGGCAGCAGUGGGGAAUAUUGCGCAAUGGGGGAAACCCUGACGCAGCCAUGCCGCGUGGGUGAAGAAGGCCUUCGGGUUGUAAAGCCCUUUCAACGGUGAAGAUGAUGACUGUAGCCGUAGAAGAAGCCCCGGCUAACUUCGUGCCAGCAGCCGCGGUAAUACGAAGGGGGCUAGCGUUGUUCGGAAUUACUGGGCGUAAAGGGCGCGUAGGCGGACUGACCAGUCAGGGGUGAAAUCCCGAGGCUCAACCUCGGAACUGCCUUUGAUACUGUCAGUCUAGAGUCUGUGAGAGGAUGACGGAAUACCCAGUGUAGAGGUGAAAUUCGUAGAUAUUGGGUAGAACACCGGUGGCGAAGGCGGUCAUCUGGCGCAGCACUGACGCUGAGGCGCGAAAGCGUGGGGAGCAAACAGGAUUAGAUA
RNAcentral lists this ribosomal RNA (659 nucleotides) under Aestuariispira insulae. RNAcentral describes it as "bacterial SSU rRNA". It matches the Rfam family "Bacterial small subunit ribosomal RNA", at positions 91 to 784 of the family's 1533-position model. Lineage: Bacteria; Pseudomonadati; Pseudomonadota; Alphaproteobacteria; Rhodospirillales; Aestuariispiraceae. The record is from RNAcentral.